RNAcentral lists this ribosomal RNA (588 nucleotides) under Bordetella avium. RNAcentral describes it as "bacterial SSU rRNA". It matches the Rfam family "Bacterial small subunit ribosomal RNA", at positions 804 to 1397 of the family's 1533-position model. Lineage: Bacteria; Pseudomonadati; Pseudomonadota; Betaproteobacteria; Burkholderiales; Alcaligenaceae. The record is from RNAcentral.
AAAAGAUGUCAAUUAGCUGUUGGGGCCUUCGGGCCUUAGUAGCGCAGCUAACGCGUGAAGUUGACCGCCUGGGGAGUACGGUCGCAAGCUUAAAACUCAAAGGAAUUGACGGGGACCCGCACAAGCGGUGGAUGAUGUGGAUUAAUUCGAUGCAACGCGAAAAACCUUACCUACCCUUGACAUGUCUGGAAUCCCGAAGAGAUUUGGGAGUGCUCGCAAGAGAACCGGAACACAGGUGAUGCAUGGCUGUCGUCAGCUCGUGUCGUGAGAUGUUGGGUUAAGUCCCGCAACGAGCGCAACCCUUGUCAUUAGUUGCUACGAAAGGGCACUCUAAUGAGACUGCCGGUGACAAACCGGAGGAAGGUGGGGAUGACGUCAAGUCCUCAUGGCCCUUAUGGGUAGGGCUUCACACGUCAUACAAUGGUCGGGACAGAGGGUUGCCAACCCGCGAGGGGGAGCCAAUCUCAGAAACCCGAUCGUAGUCCGGAUCGCAGUCUGCAACUCGACUGCGUGAAGUCGGAAUCGCUAGUAAUCGCGGAUCAGCAUGUCGCGGGGAAUACGUUCCCGGGUCUUGUACACACCGCCCGG